GUGAAUAUAGCUCAGAUGGGAGAGCAUCUGCCUUACAAGCAGAAUGUCGGCGGUUCAAUUCCUCCUAUUCACACCA
RNAcentral lists this transfer RNA (76 nucleotides) under Caudoviricetes sp. RNAcentral describes it as "tRNA-Val". It matches the Rfam family "tRNA". Rfam says of the family: Transfer RNA (tRNA) molecules are approximately 80 nucleotides in length. The record is from RNAcentral. Lineage: Duplodnaviria; Heunggongvirae; Uroviricota; Caudoviricetes.